AGGCUGGGCCCCUGCCAAUCGCGGGGAAGGAAGGAGACGAGCAACCAAUGGGAAGCUGGGGCCCCUGGACCACGUGCUGGUGGCUGAGUGUCGGUCUGGGGUGUCCUGGUUGGUAAGGGGCGGGAGGGUCUGGGGCUGGUCAUCAGGUGGCCGAGGCUGAGUUUCGCCAAGAGGUAAACUCCCCACGUCCGGAAAAGCUGACCCUUUAGGAGACCCGGGAGGGGGCCCAGGGCAGCCCCCGAUCCCCUCCUCCUCCCGGUCUGCCCCCGACCCGGCCCGGCCAUCCUCGGAGCGGGUAAAAGGGAGGCAUUCAUUCCAGGCCGGCGAGCGGGCGGAGGAUCGAGAUGAAUAGGGAGGGUCCCGAGUGUCCCUGCUUCCUGGGAUGGACAAUGGACAAGGGCAUUCAUUCAUUCAUUCAUUCACUCGUCAAAUAUUUAAUGUGCUGCUGCUCCGUGCCAGGCUCUGGCCUAUCUCUACAGACACACCAACGGGGAAGCUGAGUGUGCUUCUGGUAGACGUAGCAGCGCGUGCAAAAGGCCUGGAGGCCGGACAGAGAGAUACAGCACAUUUCAGGACAGUGCCGUAUCCUAGGAGCUGGCAAAACUGGGGGAAAUGGUGUAAUGGAAGGGAAGACAAGGGAGAGAUAGACUGUCUGCUUGUUGGUUAGGCCAGCGGAUAUUUACUGAGCACGUGAUAGGUGCUAGACUAUAAGGGGUACCCAACCAGCCCAAGCCAUUGCUUUCAUGAGGCUGUCUCCUCCAUCUCAGUGCUCCCCACCCACGCCCGGGUCCUGAGACUGGCACAGAGCAGGGUGACAGCCCACAUGUGUGCAUCUCACCGUUGCCAGGUUUGGCUUCUAACCGAGAGUUCUCAGGCAGGAGGAGGUCCAAGAAACGCAGACACGAACGCACCUCAUGCAGACCAGGACGCUGAGUUCCCAGGACAGAUGCAUCCCUCACGUCUUACGACUCUGUCCCCUGGGGAUGGACAUCAGGCAGCCUCCAGCUCCCAGCCACUGCAGCCUUGGACAUGUCCCUUCAGAGACCUGUGUGGAAAUCUCCCUAGGAGAGAGACCUGGUUGCAGAGAUGCUGGAUCACAGGGCACAGUCCGUUGCUGUGUGGCGUCCUGGACUAGCUGUCCCCAGCCACACCUUCUGUCAGUGCAGAAGGUCCCAUGUACCCACAUCUCCACCAGCUGUUAGCUUUAUCCAGCUUCUGAUUUUUACCACUCUGACUCGAUGUCAAGUGACAUCACCAUUGCUAUCUUUCACAUUUCUCUGAUUUCAGGUCACUUUGAGCAUCUCCUCAUUUGCUUGAUCGCCUUCAGUUUGUCCUCUUUUGUAAAUUGCCUGUUCAUAUUCUUUGCCCUGUUUGCACUUGGGUUGCCGUCUUUUACUCGUUGAUUUGCAUGUGCUCCUCAUAGAAUCUAGCUGUGCCCUGUCCCAUCCGAUCUGUCCUACACGAAAUCUCUGCUCUCCACAUGUAGGUAUGAGCACUUGAAAUACGGCAAAUACAAAUUGCGAUGUGCUAAGUGUAAAAUACACACCAGAUUUCGGAAACUUAGUACAAAGAAAAGAUGUAAAAAGAUGUAAAAGAUGUAAAAUAUCUCAUUAACUCAUUUUUAUUCUGUCUACGUUAUAAUAAUAAUAAUAAUGUGGAUGUAUUGGGCUGCAUAAAAUGUACUACUCAAAUUACUUUCACCUAUUUGUUUUUUAUUAUUUAAAAUUUUUUUAAUGUUUAUUUAUUUUUGAGAGAGAGAGAGAGAGAGAGAGAGAGAGACAGCAGGAGCCUGGGAGGGGCAUAGAUAGGGAGACACAGAAUCCGAAGCAGGCUCCAGGCUCUGAGCUGUCAGCACGGAGCCCAACGCGGUGCUUGGCCUCACAAACUGUGAGAUCGUGACUGGAGCCGAAGUCGCACGCUUCACCUACUGAGCCACCCAGGUGCUCCUGAGCCGUGUAACUCUCUUAACAGCCCUGUGAGGUAGGUGCAGUAUGAGGCAUUGCGAACAUAUUCUCCCAUUCUGCCAUGUGAUGAUUCGUGUCACCAUUAUAUCCUUUCUUGGAAGAAAAUUCUCAGCUGCAAUACAACAGGACUUACCCGCUUGUGGUUUCCACCCAUGAUGUUUCAUUAAAGGGGCUCUUAAGUCACAAAGUCAUUCUUCUGUAUUUUCGUAUAUUCGUUCUAUGGUUUUGCUUUGCUUUUGCUUCUAUUCGUUCUAUGUCUUUUAUUCCAUCUCUCGUCCACCUCAGGUUGUGGGGUAGGAUACAGUCUUUUUUCUCCAUCACCUCUACUGGUCGCCGGCUGUGUGGCCCCGGGCAAGCCCCUUCGCCCUGUGUGCCUCAGUCUCCUCCUCUCUAAAAUGGGAAUAAUAAUAGGACCCACCUCCUAAAGCUGUUAUGAUUACGUCAGAAUAAAAUGAGCUCUUCUGUGUCAAGUGCCUACAGUCGUGUUGGGCAGAUAGUAAAUGCUCAAUGAACACCAGCUGCUAUUACUAAACGGUGUUGUGGUCACAGAGCUGACCUCAGUAUGUCAUGAUAGAAACAUGAUAGAAACAGACACCUUUAUUAAGCUCUUACUAUGUACCAGGGUCUGUGCUGCCUGCUUUUCAUGAAUAAUCCCACUGGAUAUCCCCCCUAUUCUACAGAGGAGGAGGCUGAGGCUCAGAGAGGGGCAGCCACUAGCUCGAAGUUGAACAGUGACUCAUAGGUGUGGUGUUUUCAACCCCAAGAUACCCCUCUGGGUGGGUGGGGCCUGCUCUGAGCCAUGGGGGACAGGGAGGACCAAGGAGGGACAAUGCCCUGGCCACAGUGAUCUUGGGAGUUUGAUGGCCUGUGCUUGGGGUCCCCCUAUCAGCCUGGCAGGAGUGGUCUCAGCGGGACGGGCCUGGAGGGGAAGCAAAGGAGGUGGCCCUUCCCAGGCUGGGUCCUCUGGCCCUAGGUCUCUCAGACUCUGCUCGAGCAGCUGCCUUUUGCUGCUGGAUUCUAGGAUGUCAUGAUAAAACCCUGAAGGAGCACUGUUUUCUGGAGGGCCAAUGGGCAGCUCUCUUUUUGAAAUGCAUCGCUGGUGAUUUCCCACCACCGCCUUGGCCCCUUGCCUCGUCCAGCCCCCCAAGCAGCUGACUUGUGGCAUCUCUCCCAGCUCCGUCCUCUCUCCAUUCCCAGACCUACAACCCCAACAGCGGCCAGAGGGCGCCUGAGAGCUCGUAAGUCAGGUCCUGUCCCCUCCUCUGCUGAAGGCCCCCCCCCCAAAAGGCCAUCUGCCCACAAAACACCCUUUGCUGAAGUAGCCCAUCUGGAGUCAGGCCCAGUCAUACUGAUGUCCACCAAUACCUUCCCAAGGAAAGCUGGGCCCCCACUGAGACAAAACACCCAGGGCCUCAGCCGGGACUUCCAGCAAAGGCAAACCAGGCCCUGUCCCUCCUGACUCAGACUCUUUCAUUCAACAGGCUUCUCUUCUGCCUCAGGCUUGUAGGCCUGCCUCAGCAGGGCUCUGGCACCCGGCCUGUCUCACCCAGGCCAGGCCCCGCCCUACCCUGUCCUACCCUCUCUGUUCCAGGCACCCGAGGGCCUCACUCCUCAGCCCAGCCUUUGUCAGCUCACACCCCUUGCGUGCCUAAGAGACUCAAGGGGUGGGGGCUUCGGCUCCCCUGGCCCAUCCUCGAGCUCUGACAGACUCCUGUCCCCUGGCCUGUUCCCCCAGGGCCAGGCCUCUUCCCUCUAAGCCCUACUGUCAUGGGCAGUGCCUUGCCCAGUGUAGUGAGCUGAAUGGUGGCCUCCCAAAAGUCCGUCCGUGUCUCUGAAACUGUCAAUGUGACCCAAUUUGGAAUAAGGAAGGGUGUUUGCAGAGGUAAUUAAGUUAAGGAUCUUGAGAUGAGAUCAGCCUGGAUUACGGCGGGCCCCUGAAUCUAACAAGCGUCCUUAUAAGAGACAGAAGAGAAGACCCAGAGACAGGCAGGGGGAGGAGGGCCCUGGGAGGGGGAGGCAGGGACUGGGGCAGAGAGGCACAGGACGGAUCUUCCUCACAGCCUCCAGAAGGAACCAACCUUGCUCACACCUUGGUUUCGGACUUUUGGCCUCCUGUCCUGUGGAAGAAUGAAUUACCGUUGUUUCAAGCCACAUAGUCUGUGGCACCUUGUUACGGCAGCCCCAGGAACCUAAAACUUCUGACUUGGUAAGGGUUCGGGAACGAACCCCCCCCCCCCCCCCGGCCGCUGGGUCUCUGAGUCUCCUAGGGCUUAGUGUUGACCUGCCACUUAGGAACUGUGCCUAAUGACUAAGCCAUGAAUCACGAAGUGGGAAAAGGACCCCAGGAAAGAGGGGCUUCUCCUGGAGCCCAAGAGAACAGCCAUUUCUACCAGGUGGGAGCUGGGGCAAGUGGGGCACGGGGCGGGGGGGACCCUUCCCAGGGCUGGGUUGUCUUUCCUCUGCACACGCCCUAACAUCAGUGGUCACAGGAUAGAUGUGGCCAGUCCUCUUGUCUGAAUCAGUUUGUCACUCAAUUACUCAUUUGACAAACGCUCAGAGGGCAGUUUCUGGGCCAGGCACUGCUGUGAGCACCGGCGAUGGAAAGAUUGUUAGGGCAUGGUUUGUGACCUCCAGGAAACUAGGGUUGGCGGGGGGGGGGGGGGGCGGUGGUGGCAGGGGCUUGAGGCUCUUUCCUGAGGCUGUCUCUCCUCCCUUCAUGAGGGAAGAUGUCUGACCGAAUAAUCGUAGUUUGAGAACUCAGAAAUCAGACGCCCCACCUCCACCCCUCCUCGGGCAAGCGUGGGGUCAGCAGACCAGGGGAGCAUGCUCAGGUCGGUGCGAGAGAGCAUGAUGAGCACAUGUACUUUAAGAACUAGAUUGUAAUAGAAAACACAGAUACUUAUUGUUUGCGCUGUGCUCUUUUCAGACAAAAGGUUGGUACGUUGAAGUUUCGAGAGUCUGAUGAUCUGUCUCAGGGACUCGAAGUUAUACAAUCAAAUGACAUGCCCCACCCUCCACCCGAACAGAGGAAAAUUAAGACAAAGCAAAAAACCAAAAUGCUUGCAAGUUCCUACCUCACUCAGGAAACGCUGAAGUCCUCCCAGUGGCCCCAGGUCCUGCACCACUGCCUCGUCACCCCCUGCCCUCGCUUCCUCCCACUCACCCCUCACUUACUCUGCUCCAGCCUCACUGGGCUCCUGGCUGCUCCUUAAAUAUCUCAGACACACCCCUGCCUCAGGGCCUUUGCACAGGCUGCUCCCUCUGCCUGGAACACCCUUCCCUCCAUAUCCACCUGAAGAAGUGACCUCCUUCAAGUCUUUGCUCAAAUAUCACCUUCUCGAGGAGGCGUUCGCUAACUGUGUUUUAAAAUAAAAUACCCCAAGGGGCACCUGGGUGGCUCAGUCGGUUGAGCGUCCGACUUCGGCUCAGGUCACGAUCUCACAGCUCGUGAGUUCAAGCCCCACGUCGGGCUCUGUGCUGACAGCUCGGAGCCUGGAGCCUGCUUCGGAUUCUGUGCCUCCCUCUCUCUGCCCCUAACCCACUUGCAUUCUGUCUGUGUCUCUCUCAAAAAUAAACGUUAAAAAAAAGUUUUAAAAAUACCCCAAACUCUCUACCCCCAUGUUUCAUAUUUUCAUCACUCUCCCCAUUAUCUAGUACAUUAGUUGUUUUAUUUAUUUAUCCUUAUUUUCUCCACACCCCCCCC
This is a long non-coding RNA of Lynx canadensis (Canada lynx), 5667 nucleotides long. The record is from Ensembl. Lineage: Eukaryota; Metazoa; Chordata; Mammalia; Carnivora; Felidae.